UUGUGGAGGAGGACGCCGAAGGUGGGGCUAAUGACUGGGGUGAAGUCGUAACAAGGUAGCCGUACCGGAAGGUGCGGCUGGAUCACCUCCUAACAGGGAGACAACAAAAUGUAAAUAUUAAUUUUGUCACCUUAGGUCGAUCGGUAUCUCAGAUUCUUAAACAUAAGAAUUUCAGUUUCUAAGUUUUUUCUAGGUCACACCCAUUACUUUUUCCUGGGCCAUUAGCUCAGGUGGUUAGAGCGCACCCCUGAUAAGGGUGAGGUCCCUGGUUCAAGUCCAGGAUGGCCCAUAUCUCUAUGUUGGGGGUAUAGCUCAGUUGGUAGAGCGCCUGCUUUGCAAGCAGGAUGUCAGCGGUUCGAGUCCGCUUACCUCCACUGAAUACCACCUUUUACAUAUUGUAAAAAAGGGAAAUUGUUUUGAGUAGUAUCCUAUUUACUCUGAGCGAAUCUAGCUUCCUAUUUUAUUUAAUAAAAUAAGAUGCUGGACUCAUUGAAUUAUUAUUCAUUGUUCUCAGAGAACCUUGACAACUGCAUAGAUUAUUUUUGAAGACAAUAAGCAUCUUGAAUGAUGCAGAUUUAUUAUUUGUGCGAAUGCAUUAAAUAACAAUUCUAUUAAGCUGAUGCUUCAAAUAUUGAAGUUAUUGGUCAAGCUACAA
This 655-nucleotide unclassified non-coding RNA is filed under the name uncultured Prochlorococcus sp. RNAcentral's name for it is "partial 16S-23S ribosomal RNA intergenic spacer; may also contain 16S ribosomal RNA and 23S ribosomal RNA". The stretch from base 302 to 374 matches the Rfam family "tRNA". The record is from RNAcentral. Lineage: Bacteria; Bacillati; Cyanobacteriota; Cyanophyceae; Synechococcales; Prochlorococcaceae.